ACACACACCGGCGUACUGGAACCUCUCUCGCGAUCCCGCACCCAGCUUGAAUUCAGCAAGAAUCGAAAACAGGUGUGCCCCCGUGGGGCGGUUCGAAGAUGGCCGAAUAGGAACAGCUCCAGUCUGCAGCUCCCAGCUUGAGCGACACAGAAGACGGGUGAUUCCUGCAUUUCCAACUGAGGACUGCCGAAGCUGAGAGUAACUACCCCUGGUUUCAUUUCCAACUCAUGAAUUUUUCGCCAUCCUUCUCUGCCCGCCUUUCCUUUACUACACAGUGAGCCGCACUCCUGGAACAAGCUUCCCUUGAAGUUCACCCUCUGAGCGCCACGGCCCCUCUCCAGCCUGCAUUCCACUGUAAGGUUGAGAAAUAUCUGAUUGUUAGUGAUGAGAGAGAAAACCUAGCCUCAUUCUCUGGUGGCCUGUCUUGCAAAAGAGAGAUGAAAUCAAACCUGGCUUCCUGAG
RNAcentral lists this long non-coding RNA (462 nucleotides) under Homo sapiens (human). Its description in RNAcentral is "non-protein coding lnc-SULF1-3:7". The record is from RNAcentral. Lineage: Eukaryota; Metazoa; Chordata; Mammalia; Primates; Hominidae.